Long non-coding RNA from Bactrocera tryoni, 859 nucleotides. RefSeq lists it as uncharacterized. The transcript has 5 exons. The record is from RefSeq and is a predicted model, not a curated record. NCBI's taxonomy places the organism in Eukaryota, Metazoa, Arthropoda, Insecta, Diptera, Tephritidae.
CCACACACUUUGAGUCGAAGUGCAGCAGCAAGCACAGCGCGUUUGUUAUUGUUCUUGUUGUUGCUUAGUUGUCAACGUAUUGCGGGUAUUUUGAGCAAAUAACAGCUGUGCGAAAUUGAAACGAGACAAACUAAUAUUAUAUUGGAUAACGAAGAGAGUCGUGGUGAUUUUAUUGGCCAACAAACCACGCCGACAGAGUUGGAAAUUUGCGGUGAUCCCUACACGGAAAUUGCACUGGAUCUAGUCUUCCCAAAGGGGAAUCCGACAUUCCUGCUGGAAAGAAAAAACUUGCAGCUGCUGUAGCCGCUCGAUCGCGAUGAAGAAAAUCUGAGUCACAAUAUCUUUCAGAGCAUUCCGGUUGGCACGACGAUCUUCCGCCGCAUUCAGGCGUUGGACAAGGAUGCCGGUGUUAAUGGACUCGUCGAGUAUUUUAUUGUUGAGGGCAGCACAAACACAACGGAAGAUGAGACAAUGACAAUUGCGGAUGGUUUGCAAUUUCCUUUCCCCAUCAAGGGCAGGUGACUGUGGCCAAAACGCUGGAUUAUGAGAAGGUGCAACGUUAUUGUCUAACAAUCAUCGCAGCGCUGAAACCCUAAGCAAUGCAAUGGCCCAUUGAUGAGGUAGAUGCCGGUCAGCAAUGUGUGGCGGCGGCUGGAGCAGCAGAAGCGCAAAUGGUCCUAACAGCGCCAGCGCUACCACAAUUGACAGUUGUGAGCAUGCUAUUCACAUAACUCAAAUAUUCAACGCACCAUCAACGGCCCCGUCAUCUCUUGGUUUCUGGUGUUAUUAGCAGCUCAGCAUUCUUCUUCGUCGAUUGAUACGAGCUCAUGUAAGAAGGUAAGUAUUUUUUAGGUGUUUC